UACGUAGGAGGCAAGCGUUGUCCGGAAUUACUGGGUGUAAAGAGCGUGUAGGCGGUUUGGUAGGUCCGCUGUGAAAACUCGAGCUCAACCUCGAGACGCCGGUGGAAACCAUCAGACUAGAGUCCGGAAGAGGAGAGUGGAAUUCCUGGUGUAGCGGUGAAAUGCGCAGAUAUCAGGAAGAACACCCGUGGCUAAGGCGGCUCUCUAGUACGGUACUGACGCUGAGACGCGAAAGCGUGGGGAGCGAACAGG
RNAcentral lists this ribosomal RNA (252 nucleotides) under uncultured bacterium. RNAcentral describes it as "partial 16S ribosomal RNA". It matches the Rfam family "Bacterial small subunit ribosomal RNA", at positions 524 to 776 of the family's 1533-position model. The record is from RNAcentral.